RNAcentral lists this ribosomal RNA (353 nucleotides) under uncultured bacterium. RNAcentral describes it as "bacterial SSU rRNA". It matches the Rfam family "Bacterial small subunit ribosomal RNA", at positions 22 to 356 of the family's 1533-position model. The record is from RNAcentral.
GCUCAGGAUGAACGCUGGCGGCGUGCUUAACACAUGCAAGUCGAGCGAAGCACUUUGGAAAGAUUCUUCGGAUGAUUUCCUUUGUGACUGAGCGGCGGACGGGUGAGUAACGCGUGGGUAACCUGCCUCAUACAGGGGGAUAACAGUUAGAAAUGACUGCUAAUACCGCAUAAGACCACGGUACCGCAUGGUACAGUGGUAAAAACUCCGGUGGUAUGAGAUGGACCCGCGUCUGAUUAGGUAGUUGGUGGGGUAACGGCCUACCAAGCCGACGAUCAGUAGCCGACCUGAGAGGGUGACCGGCCACAUUGGGAUCUGAGACACGGCCCAGACUCCUACGGGAGGCAGCAGUA